Molecule: ribosomal RNA, 279 nt
Filed under: uncultured bacterium
Lineage: Bacteria
Description: partial 16S ribosomal RNA
Rfam family: Bacterial small subunit ribosomal RNA
Source: RNAcentral
UGCCAGCAGCCGCGGUAAUACGGAGGGGGCAAGCGUUGUUCGGAAUUAUUGGGCGUAAAGCGUAUGUAGGCGGCUAAGCAAGUCAGGCGUGCAAGCCCGUGGCUCAACCACGGAAUUGCGUUUGAAACUGCUUAGCUUGAGUACAGGAGAGGAAAGCGGAAUUCCCAGUGUAGCGGUGAAAUGCAUUGAUAUUGGGAAGAACAUCUGUGGCGAAGGCGGCUUUCUGGUCUGUUACUGACGCUGAGAUACGAAAGCCAGGGGAGCGAACGGGAUUAGAUA